RNAcentral lists this transfer RNA (70 nucleotides) under Stylephorus chordatus (tube-eye). Its description in RNAcentral is "tRNA-His". It matches the Rfam family "tRNA". From Rfam's summary of the family: Transfer RNA (tRNA) molecules are approximately 80 nucleotides in length. Their secondary structure includes four short double-helical elements and three loops (D, anti-codon, and T loops). The record is from RNAcentral. Lineage: Eukaryota; Metazoa; Chordata; Actinopteri; Stylephoriformes; Stylephoridae.
GCAGAUAUAGUUUUAAUUAAAACCUUAGAUUGUGAUUCUAAAGAUAGGCGUUAAAAUCCCCUUAUCUGCA